GGGGAAUAUUGGACAAUGGGCGCAAGCCUGAUCCAGCCAUGCCGCGUGAGUGACGAAGGCCUUAGGGUUGUAAAGCUCUUUUGGCGGGGAAGAUAAUGACGGUACCCGCAGAAUAAGCUCCGGCUAACUUCGUGCCAGCAGCCGCGGUAAUACGAAGGGAGCUAGCGUUGUUCGGAAUCACUGGGCGUAAAGCGCACGUAGGUGGGCAGUUAAGUCAGGGGUGAAAGCCCGAGGCUCAACCUCGGAAUUGCCUCUGAUACUGGCUGUCUAGAGUCCGAGAGAGGUGGGUGGAAUUCCUAGUGUAGAGGUGAAAUUCGUAGAUAUUAGGAAGAACACCGGUGGCGAAGGCGGCCCACUGGCUCGGUACUGACACUGAGGUGCGAAAGCGUGGGGAGCAAAC
This 400-nucleotide ribosomal RNA is filed under the name uncultured bacterium. RNAcentral describes it as "bacterial SSU rRNA". It matches the Rfam family "Bacterial small subunit ribosomal RNA", at positions 356 to 773 of the family's 1533-position model. The record is from RNAcentral.